GGGAAAUUUUGGACAAUGGGCGAAAGCCUGAUCCAGCCAUGCCGCGUGAGUGAAGAAGGCCUUCGGGUUGUAAAGCUCUUUCGCAAGGAAAGAAAACUUAUCUACUAAUACUAGAUGAGGAUGACGGUACCUUGAUAAGAAGCACCGGCUAACUACGUGCCAGCAGCCGCGGUAAUACGUAGGGUGCAAGCGUUAAUCGGAAUUACUGGGCGUAAAGCGAGCGCAGGCGGUUUUGUAAGUCAGAUGUGAAAGCCCCGGGCUCAACCUGGGAACUGCGUUUGAAACUACAAGGCUAGAGUAUGGGAGAGGGAGGUAGAAUUCCACGUGUAGCAGUGAAAUGCGUAGAGAUGUGGAGGAAUACCAAUGGCGAAGGCAGCCUCCUGGCCUGAUACUGACGCUCAUGCUCGAAAGCGUGGGGAGCAAACA
Molecule: ribosomal RNA, 426 nt
Filed under: uncultured Methylobacillus sp.
Lineage: Bacteria; Pseudomonadati; Pseudomonadota; Betaproteobacteria; Nitrosomonadales; Methylophilaceae
Description: bacterial SSU rRNA
Rfam family: Bacterial small subunit ribosomal RNA
Source: RNAcentral